GCGAGGGAGAGGCGGGGAAAUAUCCACCAGGGGCAAAUGGAAAGUGGCGUUUCUGCACGUAGAAGCUGGCGGCGGCGUUGCCAGAAAGCAGCGGGGCUGCCUCGGGUCUCCCUGUGGCCGCCAGUGGGCUCCUUAGUCUUAAAGGGCCCCUUAUUAACUAGUAUUUAAAUAUAUAUAUAUAUAAGUGGUUCUGGGGCUUCAGCAGCCCACCUAAAUAUAACCUCUGUCUCCCUCCCGGGGUACUUUGUAUAUGCUCAGAGGCAAUUCCCACACACACACACACACACACACACACACGCCCUGCCCACUUCAUAUUUUGCGGGGAAUUGGAAACGGUGCCUGUGAUACGAAAGAAAUGGGGAACAAAUCCAGUGACACUAAACAGAUGGGAAACGGUUCUUCUGCCACAUCAAAGGGAAAAGUCAUCCUUCUACCAGGCAUGAUCAUUCAAGCAGGUGCAACGGUGAGGAAUGGACAAAUCACUUUGCUGAAGUGGGAAAUGGAACAGCAGUACACCAUUUAAUCUCAGCUGUGGUGAAGGCAAGCUUUGUCAGCAUCUCCUGCAUAAAGCUCUAAGGUGGGAAUCAAAUCCAAGACCAAGUGGCAACCUUCUCUCUCACCAGCAAGAACCUCGGUGCACUGAAUGAGCCCUGGAAGAGCAGCGGUGGGCUUUGGUGUCUCAAAUUUCAACGGUGCCCUGUGCAACACCAAAAUUUGGUGCCCCCACCUCCAUUUUACAUUACAGUUGUGACGCCCCUGAGGCCCCAUGCGCAGUGCAGCUGAACUGGUCACGCUCCCCUAAAUCUGCCUCUGGACAGAGGAUCCUCAGUGAGCCGUAGCAGAUUGUGGAUGGCUGCAGUUUCCGUGCCCUAUCGUGCCAACAUGAUUUGAGAAGAAGGUGGUUCAGAAAGAGCUGCUGCUUUGCCUUUAGGCUUUCUGAAGCGUUAAGAAGCAUCUAUGCCUUUUCUAAUUCCAGGGCUGAGAUUAAUGUCCUCAUCCUCAGGCCCUUGCACACAGCGGUAGGUUGUCUGCACAGAAGGGCACGCAAAGAUCUCUGGGUUCUCACGCGUGGAACAAAUUCAUGCUGGGUUGGGUAGGCCCAGGAGGUACAGCCCAUUUUGAAAGUUCAAAAUGCCUCAGAAACCUGAUUGUUUUCAGAACCUCUCCAGGUCAUCAAGGCCGCCAGGUUAAACCCUGUUGCUUAGCCUUCUAGUGCCAUCUACUGGUGGUGCCUAGAGAAAUCAAAGAAGUUCAUGUCAGCAACUGCCAUACACUCUCAAGGCCACUUUGCAUGCUAUAUUUUUAUGACUAAUACCACAUUGCAAAAUAUUGCAAUGGAAGGUUUUAUACACACUGCUACUCAACAACAACAUUAUGGGAGGUGGUUCAGCUGUGGCCAUGUCUGUCUCACAGAGUACAACACACUUUUUUUUGUUUAUUUCAUUCAUAUACCACACUUGAAUCUGACCAAACUGCAGGAGGCAGUGGAAGACAGGAGUGCCUGGCGUGCUCUGGUCCAUGGGGUCACGAAGAGUCGGACACGACUAAACGACUAAACAACAAUAAUACCACACUUACCUUCCAAUGAAUAUCAAAGGAAAAAAUAUUUCAUAACACCAGCUAUUCCAAGUGUUCUGUUCUGCAGAAUGGACCAAAACAAGGAAGACAGACAACAGGAUCGUACAAACAACUCUGACUUCAAGGUUCCAGGCUAAAGAGCACAGGUGCAGA
Long non-coding RNA from Podarcis muralis (Common wall lizard), 1731 nucleotides. RefSeq lists it as uncharacterized. The record is from RefSeq and is a predicted model, not a curated record. Lineage: Eukaryota; Metazoa; Chordata; Lepidosauria; Squamata; Lacertidae.